Molecule: ribosomal RNA, 441 nt
Filed under: uncultured bacterium
Lineage: Bacteria
Description: partial 16S ribosomal RNA
Rfam family: Bacterial small subunit ribosomal RNA
Source: RNAcentral
CCUACGGGAGGCAGCAGUAGGGAAUAUUGCACAAUGGGGGAAAGCCUGAUGGAGCGACGCCGCGUGAGUGAAGAAGGAUUUCGGUAUGUAAAGCUCUAUCAGCAGGGAAGAAGCAAGACGGUACCUGACUAAGAAGCCCAGGCUAACUACGUGCCAGAAGCCGCGGCAAUACGUAGGGAGCAAGCGUUAUCCGGAUUUACGUGGUGUAAAGGGAGCGUAGACGGUAUGGCAAGUCUGAAGUGAAAGCCCAGGGCUUAACCGUGGGACUGCAUUGGAAACUGUUAGACUAGAGUGCUGGAGAGGUAAGUGGAAUUCCUUGUGUAGCGGUGAAAUGCGUAGAUAUUAGGAGGAACACCAGUGGCGAAGGCGGCUUACUGGACAGUAACUGACGUUGAGGCUCGAAAGCGUGGGGAGCAAACAGGAUUAGAUACCCGAGUAGUC